This is a long non-coding RNA of Pipistrellus kuhlii (Kuhl's pipistrelle), 152 nucleotides long. RefSeq lists it as uncharacterized. The record is from RefSeq and is a predicted model, not a curated record. NCBI's taxonomy places the organism in Eukaryota, Metazoa, Chordata, Mammalia, Chiroptera, Vespertilionidae. The transcript has 3 exons.
CUGGCCGCCCGGGGGGCCGCCCUGGUGCAGGGCGAGGAGCUGGUGGAGCAGGUCCGUGAUGAGCACCAGCCGCUGGUCUAGCUGCGUCAUCUGCGGGGAGAGAGGAGGUCAGCUGUGCGUGCCGGCCGCGUGUGUGUGCACGGCUGGGCACG